This 460-nucleotide long non-coding RNA is filed under the name Mus pahari (shrew mouse). RNAcentral's name for it is "predicted gene, 36696 (MGP_PahariEiJ_G0002167.1)". Lineage: Eukaryota; Metazoa; Chordata; Mammalia; Rodentia; Muridae. The record is from RNAcentral.
AGAUACAGCAUUGCAUCUGCUGCUGACACCACACUGCCUGGUUCGGGUAAGAGUGAUUCCUUCAGAAAGACAGACAGCAGCAGCACGCCCCUGGUCCUCUCACCACAGAGGCUCCUGACUCCUACAGAGAACUGUGGGUAGAAAAGACUGAUGACCAUUGGUGUGCCUGCACAAAUGAACAAGAUGAUUGCAACUGACCACACCACCACAGCGGGGUCUUCCUUGUGAUUAUAAACCUGCAAAAGUGGACACCUCAUGACCAGGGCUCUAGUUGAUGUGCAAGUACCUGUUAUGGAUAGCAGGGGGUGGGAGUGGAGGUGGGGGUGGGGUGGGGCGGGGAAAGACGACUUCAAAUCCAUAAUCCAAUCUCACAAGGGAGUCUUGCCUGGUGUCCAACGAAAGGAUGUGGAAAAGGAAAAGACCACAACCGCGGACAUCUUGAGGAAGCUACUGGAAACAC